CCCGUAGGCCGUAAGUGGAGAUUAGAGUUUGAUCCUGGCUCAGGGUGAAUGCUGGCGGCGUGGAUGAGGCAUGCAAGUCGAAUGGGUUUAGGCCCAUGGCAGACGAGGUAGGAACACGUAGGUACGUACCGGAGAGUCAGGAAUAACUUGUCGAAAGGCAGGAUAAUACUUGAUGGUCCCGAGAGGGUAAAGAUUUAUCGCUCUCUGAACGGCCUGCGUUCUACCAGCUUGUUGGUAAGGUAACGGCUUACCAAGGCUACGACGGAUAGGGGAGCUGAGAGGCUGACCCCCACCGAUGGAACUGCGACACGGUCCAUACUCCUACGGGAGGCUGCAGUCGAGAAUCUUCCGCAAUGGACGAAAGUCUGACGGAGCGACGCCGCGUGGUAGAUGAAGUCCUUAGGGACGUAAAUACCUUUUAUGAGGGAAGAAGUUUAUUGACGGUACCUCAUGAAUAAGGGGCUCCCAAUUCUGUGCCAGCAGGAGCGGUAAUACAGAAGCCCCGAGCAUUACCCGGAUUUACUGGGCGUAAAGGGUGUGUAGGUGGUGUGAUUAGUCGGGCGUUAAAUCCAGAGGCUCAACCUCUGGCUCGCGUUCGAAACGGUCACACUAGAGGGAGUGAGAGGUGUGUGGAACUCAAGGUGUAGGGGUGAAAUCCGUUGAUAUCUUGGGGAACACCAAAAGCGAAGGCAACACACUGGCACUCUCCUGACACUGAAACACGAAAGCGUGGGUAGCGAAUCGGAUUAGAUACCCGAGUAGUCCACGCCCUAAACGUUGUCCGCUAGCCAUGGGGAGUAUCGACCCUCUCCGUGGCGUAGCUAACGCAUUAAGCGGACCGCCUGGGUAGUACGAGCGCAAGCUUAAAACUCAAAGGAAUAGACGGGGGCUCGCACAAGCGGUGGAUCAUGGGGCUUAAUUCGUCGAUAAGCGAGGAACCUUACCAAGGCUAGAAAUCUUACUGCAUCCCUAGGGAAACUUAGGGAGCCUUCGAGGGUGUAAGACAGGUGAUGCAUGGCCGUCGUCAGUUCGUGGCUUGAGCUGUUCCCUUAAGUGGGGAAACGAACGCAACCCUCGUUGCCUGUUACAAGUGUCAGGCGAGACUGCUCCCUCACGGGAGAGGAAGGUGAGGAUGACGCCAGGUCAGCAUGUCCCUAGAUGCCUUGGGCUGCACCCGUGAUACAAUGGGUGGUACAAAGAGACGCAAUGGCGCGAGCCGGAGCAAAUCUUCAAAACCAUCCUCAAUUCGGAUUGAAGUCUGCAACUCGACUUCAUGAAGUUGGAAUCGCUAGUAAUCGUGAAUCAGCAACGUCACGGUGAAUACGUUCCCGAGCCUUGUACUCACCGCCCGUCAACUCAAGGGAGCCGGAAGUGCCCGAAGUUCGUGCUUGACACGACCUACGGUAAGUUUGGUGACAGGGAGUAAGUCGUAACAAGGUAACCAUCUCUAGAGGUCCCCGUACCAGUUCUGUAAAUUGAAAUCACUCUCGGUUACG
Molecule: ribosomal RNA, 1496 nt
Filed under: uncultured bacterium
Lineage: Bacteria
Description: bacterial SSU rRNA
Rfam family: Bacterial small subunit ribosomal RNA
Source: RNAcentral